GCCGAACAGAAUCAUGGCUGGUGCUCCACACGUCACUCCUGGUGCUUUUUUGAUUGGCGAUGCAUUCAAUAUGCGGCAUGCUAUAACUGCAGGGGGAAUGACUGUUGCUUUAUCUGAUGUUGUGAUACUUAGGGAUCUUCUAAGACCCUUGCAUGAUCUAUCUGAUGCAUCCGCCAUUUGCAAAUAUCUUGAAUCCUUUUAUACUCUGAGGAAGGUAUUGUAAUUCAUGUCCUAUAUGAAUUUUUUAAAGUGAAUAAAAAGGAACAAAAAAUGGCAUAAAUUUUCACUUUUAACUGCAUGCAGCCAAUGUCAUCUACGAUAAAUACACUAGCCAAUGUUUUACAUAAGGUAUUUAGUGCCCCGUCCGAUCCUGCAAUGGAGAAUCUGCAACAAACAUUGUUGGGGUAUUUGAAACUUGGAGGGGUUUUUUCAUCUGGAGUAUCAGCUCUGCUCUCUGGUUUAUGCCCUCGUCCAUUAAGCUUAGUAUUUCAUUUCAUUGUCAUGGCAAUGUAUGGUGUUGGCCAGUUGUUACUUCCAUUUCCUUCUCCCAAACGCUUGUUGGAUGGGGCUAAACUCCUUUGGGUCAGUAUCUCUAGCAAUGAUCAUUUCUCAUAUAUCAUGAUCACUAACACGAUAAAAAUAUAUAAUAAUUUUAAAAUGACGUUAUUUUUUUUUGUUUUUUCAGGUUGCAUCAAGUGUUUUUCUCCCCAUUAUACACUCUGAAGGAGUCAGACAAAUGUUUUUCCCUCUAACUGUGCCAGCAUAUUAUAGAACUCCCCCUAAGGGAAAAAAAAUCUGAGAGGAAACUCCAUGCAUCUGUAGUGAACAAUUCUAUAUAUAUUCGCAAUAGAUUUUCAUAUUUGUUUCUAGUUAGCAUUCUCAAGUAGGCUUAAUGGUCGUUUGUACUCAUACUAUUUUUAUGUGUCUUGUGUAAAAUUCUAAAUAAAGGUUUUGUAAUUCUUGUGUUGGUGUUAUUUUUAUGUAUCUUGUUUGAAAUAUUGAACUAACGCGUUAGUAUUUUUAAGUAGGUUCAAUAAGCAUCCUAUUCGUAUUGUUUUUGUUAAUAUAACUUAUUCAUGAGUUCAUUAAUAUUAAUAAGUGUGUAGCGAUCUCAUGAGUUUGGAAAGCUCUUUGGGAGAGAUUUUGCACAACUUGAGUGUAUAUCCUAAAGCAUUUGUUGCGAUGGACAGGAUUUUUCUAGAUAGAGCUUUGAUAUAGGUGACUUGAGUGGAAAUAUCUAUCCAAAUUUUGCACAAAUUUACGACCAAGUGAAUAAAGUUGAGUUUAUGAUGCAUUUUCGAUAAAAUAUCUUUUUAGCUAACUGGGCGGCAAAAGUGACAUUAAAUAUUCCAGAAAAGAUCUUUGAUGCACUCCCCAAGCGUAUAGCAGAACUUCCCCCGGCAAUACCAAAAAAUAAGUUAAUUUGUCUUUUCCCUUGGUUUUUUCUCCAAUAAUAAUUUAUCCUUUUUGUUUCUGCAUUACGUGUGGUGGAGGUACAUCUAUCAUAUUUUUGUCAACUUUUUUGUUUUUCCAUUACGUGAGGUGGACAGCGGCCAAACUAUGGGACUCCCUCACUUAAAAUAGAAAAUUUUUUAUUUAAAUUUUUAAAAUUUUUAAAAUUUUAAAUUAAAAAAAUAAAAUUGUACUUUGAUGUUUUUUAAAGUUGAUAAAAAUUUAAUUUAAUUUUUUAAAAAAUUAUAAAGAUAUAGGCUAUUAAAAUAGUAAAAUUAUAUUUUUAUUGUCAUAAAAAUUACAAUUUAAUUUCGACCUUCUAAAUUUUUUUUGUGACAUUCGGGACUAAACUGAAUAAAUUAAAAGUUGUUAAGAAAUUAUGCCAUAGACUAAAAAUACAAGGUCUCUAACAUGAAAGUAUAUGAAAUCAGAUUUUGAUUCAAUACUAAAGAUUGAAAAGUAUGAGCAUUUCUAAUAUAGGGAAAAAUGAAGAAAAUACAAAAUAUAUUUGAUUAUAUGUUUAUCAUGUGGUUGAGUGAAAACUAAAGCUAUUUUAUAAUUGAAUUAUCGAACGUAGCUAAAAACAAUGUCAGGCCGUCCUAAGAUAAAGGAAAUGCAAGAAUCGAAGAAAGUAAUUAAUACGAACUAAUACGAUUUGUACAUUCAUGAUUCAAAUUCAAUAUUUGCAAACUAAAUUGUCUCAUGGUUUGGUUUGUAUUUCAAUACUAUUGAACAUAUGUUUGAUCUUUAGAUUUGUAAUUUGUAAAUGUUUAAUUUAAAUAUGAUAUAAAAGUAUGAAAAGUAAAAAAAAAAAACGUGAUGAUAAUAAUAUUAAUUAUAAUUUAAAAGAAGAGAUAUUUUAUUAUUUUUAUUUCACUUUAAAAUAGAUCUGAUUUUACGAAAAUUUGAAACAAUAGAGAACUAACCUAGUAAAAAGUAUACUUUAUACUUUAUAAUUAAUAUUGUUUGAUAGAGAGCUGUUCUAAAAGUAUCACAAAAAUUAUCGAAUUAUUUAUUUUAUAUAAAGAAAAACUUAUAACCACUAAAUACAUAUUAAUAAAGACCUAAUAUUUAAUCAAUAUGAUAAAAAUAUCGAAUCAAUUUAAAAUUGUACAUGCAUAAGAACCACAUUAUUUAUAUCGAUAUAUUCAUUUUAUAAUUAUAUAAAAGUUUGAGUAAAACUAUUAGCUUUACAGGUGGAUCUCAGAGGCGAAGUAAGAAAAUUUUUAAGUGAAAUUAAAUUAUAUAUUUUUAAGAUAAUAAAAAUAUAAUUUUACUAUUUUUAAUAGUCCAUACUUUUAUAAAUUUUAAAAAGUUAAAUUAAAAUUUUAUCCUUUAUCAAAUAUUAUUAAUUUAAAAUUUUAUAAAAUAUCUGGUGGAGUACUGUGAUUUUAGUUGCCACUUGUGCAAAGGGAUAAGCCACUGACAUGACUGCAUCUGCAUCCAUGAAAGAAGCCAAAUUGAAUUGUAACUUACUGCUCCUUUACGCUAAGAAUUUUUUCAGAGACGUGGAAGUACAAAAACAGGCGGUGCUUCUUCAUUCUUAUAUAAAUGCUGUUCUUCUUGAUUAUUCUUUCCAUACAUUGUUCUUAAAACAAUGGCUGGGCAGUUUAUAGUUGGAGUUGCAAAUGUUAUAGCCUUGCUUUUGGGGUUUGUUUUCUUAGUGAGAUUUUGGGGGCUGAGCAAGCUGAAAAGAGCAGCUUCAAUGGGGUUCCCAAAGGAAAACUGUGUAAACAAAAAUGGAAAUGGUGAGGGUGAGAGUGAGAGUGAGGGUGUUGGGACUGCAGAAAUUAUCAUAGUCGGCGCUGGUGUUGCCGGUGCUGCUCUUGCCUAUUCUCUUGGAAAGGUCCCAAUUUUUUAUCACCUUUAUUUUAAUUUUAUAGAAUUAAGUUUCGACUUGGGAUAAUAAUAGUAUUGAACUCUAAAAGGAUCUUGGAGCCACAUACAUGACUCUCCCAACUUUUCCAAUAUUUUUGUAGUGAAAGAGAUUGUUUUAAUUUUUUAUUUAAAUUUUAUAUUUAGUAAUUUUAUUUCCUUAAAGGAACAUCGUGCACAGUUUUAAGUAGGUCUGCUCAUGACCUGGUCCAGCUCAAAAGCCCGCUCGAAAAAUAGAAGAUUUAGGUAAAAAUAUAGGCUCAAAAAAUGAGCUUGGGAGAAAAAUGCCCAUUUAGAAAACGGGCUAAGCCUCAAGUAAGGUUUUUUAGCCCGGCCCAAAUAUGUAGUUUUUUUUUUUUACAAUUUUUUUCUAUUUUCUUGUUGUUGUUUUUCACUAUUUUGCUACUAUUUCACUAUUAUGUCAUUAUUUUGUUGUUAUUGUAUAACUAUUGUUUUAUUGUUAAUUUUGUUAUUAUUUUAGAGGUAUUUGCUUGUUAAGUUGCACUUAUCUUAGUGUUAUUUAAGUAUACAUUUUUUUAAAAAUUUAUUUUCAAUUUGUUGGAAAACAAUUAUUUUAAUAUUUUUAAUAUUUUUUUAAAAAAAAUUAAUACAAGCGGAGCCCGGGUUUUAACAUUUUAUUCGGGCUAGGCUUGAGCAAAAUUUAAGGACCAUUUUUUGGGCCCGGGCCAAGCAAACGAGUCUAAAAUUUUGGUUUUGCCCGGCCAAACCCAUAAACACCUCUAGUUUUAAGUAAUCAUAUGUUAUUUCUUCUUAAUUGUUCUUUUUAAAUAUGUAUUUAUGCCAUCUUUUUUUAACUUACAUAUAUGUCUUUUUUGUAGUAUAACUAACAUACAUAAUAUACGUUACCAGAAAUAAAUAUAAAAGAUACUUUAAUUAUGACAAAUAAAAAAAUUGAAAUUCCUUCUUAAUUAUAUUUAAUGUAGAAAUACAUAUAAAUAUCUAAGAUUUUUAAAAAUAUUGUAGAGGUGGGGAAUGUCGCAUUUAGCUUCAAUUAACAUCAGUUUCUCUUCAAGUUACCAUAAGAUCCUUGAAAAAUGGAGUUAACUAUGAUGUUAUACCUAAUAAUACUUCUAUAAUUAUAUAUUGUAGGAUGGACGUCGAGUGCGAGUGAUAGAAAGGGACUUAAAUGCACCUAAUAGAAUUGCUGGUGAAGCUCUAAUGCCUGGAGGCUACCUCAAGUUAAUUGAAUUAGGCCUUGAAGAUAAAUAAGAAUAGUGGAUGCAAUAUAAUAUUUCAAUGUCAUUUCUUUAAAUAUAUUACUUUGAAUGUUGGCACUACAGAUUGCUUAGAUGAGAUUGAUGCUCAACGAUUUUUGGGUUAUACUCUAAACAAGGAUGGAAAGGAGGCUCUCAUAUCUUUUCCAUUGGAAAAGAUUCAUUCUCAUGUUGUAGGAAGAACUUUCCAUAACGGUCGUUUCGUUCAAACAUUACGAAAGAAAGUAGCAUCUCUUCACAAAUACUUUCUCUCCUUCCUCCCAAUCAUUCUUUAAUUUCAAUUUAAUAUAUUAGAACAUUUAUCUUAAUGGAUUAAAUGACUUGUAGUUGUUUUGAUCCAUUACUUUUGUUUAUGAGCUCGUCCAGUUGAUUUUGGUUUGAUCAAUUUAGAUAAAAUCACUCAAGUUUUAAAACUAACACAUCAUUUUGGUUUUUAUCAUUUUAGGCUAAGGAUUAUUUUGGGUUCAGAUCAUUUCCAGUUUAUAUUUGAGUCAUUUUGCUCCGGGUUUCAAAUUUUUGAGUGUGGUCAUUACAAUUUCAUAUCGUUUUGGUUCUAGUCACUUCGAGUUUGGAUCCUUCCAAGUUAAUUUUUGAAUCAUUUUGGGUCUGACUUGUUUUAAGUUCAAGUUAGUUUGGGUUAGAGUAAAAUUUUGUUCAAGUUGGAGGGACUCAAAUUGUGGACCCUUUAUAGUCAAAUCAAAUUGGAUCAAAUUUAAGUUCCAAUUGGUCGAGUCAAAUUUUCAAAUUCAAGUCAAAAUUGACAUGUCUGGUUCUGUUACUAUUACUUUGUUUCAACUUGUUUUAAUCAGAAAUUAUGCCUCUCUUUACAAGGUCCAAAUUCAUGUUUUUAUGAUAUGAUAACGCAGUGUAAGUUUAGAACAAGGGACAGUAAUAUCUCUACUUGAAGAAAAUGGUAUUGUCAAAGGAGUGCACUAUAAAGAUAAGAGUGGUCAAUUGCUAACAGCUUACGCUCCUCUCACCAUUGUCUGUGAUGGUUGUUUCUCGAAUUUGAGACACUCUCUCUGCCAUUCUAAGGUGAAAAAAAUGUUUACGUAUUCUUGUUAAAUUAGUUUAAUUCUUAUUUUAGUCACUCUAUAACGUUAAAAAUUUGAGAUUUAGUCCUAUUUUAUUGUGACAUAAUUUGAUUCCAUUGUAUUUGUGAUGAUAUUAGUAUGUCAAAAUAGAUCAGUUGUUUUUGUUAAAGAAUUGACUUACUUUUUGGCUAUAUAGUCAAGGUUACAUUGAAAUCAAGUUAAUUAAGUUCAACAAAUAAUGAAAUUACAUGUUACUCAAAUGUUAGUUUUAAUGGAGAUGUAUGUCAUUAUUUCAAUGGUAACAAUUAAGGAUGUCAUCAAUUUGGACCCACAAUAAAAGUAGAGAGACUAAAUUUUGCCAAAUUGAAAUAGAGGAAUAAAAUUCCAAUUCCAGCUUGGUAGAGGGACUAAAACCAUAAUUAGACAUAAAUUAUAUGCUUGGAGAAAAUAUACUUACAAAGGUCUUGAUUUUUUGUGCAGGUGGAUAUCCCCUCUUAUUUUGUUGGUUUUAUCUUAACGAACUGUAAACUUCCAAAAGAAAAUUUUGGAGCUUUUAUAUUAGCAGAUCCUUCACCUAUCCUAUUUUAUCCCAUUAGUAGCACAGAAAUUCGUUGCUUGGUGGAUGUUCCUAGUCAAAAUCUGCCCUCUGUUUCCAAUGGUGUAAUGGCUCAUUACUUGAAAACUUUGGUGGCUCCCAAGGUAUAUUUAUUUCUUUAAUCGACUCAUUAAUGGAAUUUGGUUGAACUUAUGGGCUAACUAUAUGAUCUAUGAUACAUUUCAGGUUCUUCCUGAAUUUUACAAUUCCUUUAUAUCUGCAAUAGAGAAGAAGGACAACAUAAGAAUAAUGCCGAACAAAAUCAUGGCUGGUGCUCCACACCUCACUCCUGGUGCUUUUUUGAUCGGCGAUGCAUUCAAUAUGCGGCAUGCUAUAACUGGAGGGGGAAUGACUGUUGCUUUAUCUGAUGUUGUGAUACUUAGGAAUCUUCUAAGACCCUUGCAUGAUCUAUCUGAUGCAUCCGCCAUUUGCAAAUAUCUCGAAUCCUUUUAUACUCUGAGGAAGGUAUUGUAGUUCAUGUCCUAUAUGAAUUUUUUAAAGUGAAUAAAAAGGAACAAAAAAUGGCAUAAAUUUUCACUUUUAACUGCAUGCAGCCAAUGUCAUCUACGAUAAAUACACUAGCCAAUGUCUUACAUAUGGUAUUUAGUGCCCCGUCCGAUCCUGCAAUGGAGAAUCUGCAACAAACAUUGUUGGGGUAUUUGAAACUUGGAGGGGUUUUUUCAUCUGGAGUAUCAGCUCUGCUCUCUGGUUUAUGCCCUCGUCCAUUAAGCUUAGCAUUUCAUUUCAUUGUCAUGGCAAUAUAUGGUGUUGGCCAGUUGUUACUUCCAUUUCCUUCUCCCAAACGCUUGUUGGAUGGAGCUAAACUCCUUUGGGUCAGUAUCUCUACCAAUCAUUUCUCAUAUAUCAUGAUCACUAACACGUUAAAAAUAUAUAAUAAUUUUAAAAUGACGUUCUUUUUUUUUUUCUUUUGUUUUUUCAGGUUGCAUCAAGUGUUUUUCUCCCCAUUAUACACUCUGAAGGAGUCAGACAAAUGUUUUUCCCUCUAACCGUGCCAGCAUAUUAUAGAACUCCCCCUAAGGGAAAAAAAAUCUAAGAGGAAACUCCAUGCAUCUGUAGUGAACAAUUCUAUAUAUAUUCGCAAUAGAUUUUCAUAUUUGUUUCUAGUUAGCAUUCUCACGUAGGCUUAAUGGUCGUUUGUACUCAUAUUAUUUUUAUGUGUCUUGUUUAAAAUUCUAAAUAAAGGUUUAGUAAUUCUUGUGUUGGUGUUAUUUUUAUGUAUCUUGUUUGAAAUAUUAAACUAACGAGUUAGCAUUUUUAAGUAGGUUCAAUAAGCAUCCUAUUCGUAUUAUUUUUGUUAAUAUAAAUUAUUCAUGAGUUUAUUAAUAUUAAUAAGUCUAUAGAGAUCUCAUGAAUUUGGAAGGCUCUUUGCGAGAGAUUUGGCACAACUUGAGUGUAUAUCCUAAAGCAUUUCUUGGGAUGGAUAGGAUUUUUCUAGAUAGAGCUUUGAUAUAGGUGACUUGAGUGGAAACAUCUAUCCAAAUUUUGCAGAAAUGGACGGCAAAAGUGACAUUAAAUAUUCCAGAAAAGAUCUUUGAUGCACUCCCCAAGCGUAUAGCAGAACUCCCCCGGCAAUACCAAAAAAUAAGUUAAUUUGUCUUUUCCCUUGGUUUUUUGUUUUUGCUUUACGUGUGGUGGAGGUACAUCUAUCAUAUUUUUGUCAACUUUUUGUUUUUCCAUUACGUGAGGUGGACAGCGGCCAAACUAUGGGACUCCCUCACUUAAAUAGAAAAUUUUUUAUUUAAAAUUUUAAAAUUUUUAAAAUUUUAUGUGGAAACCAUUUUUUUAUAUUUGAAAAAUGGGAAUUCAUUUUGAAAAUGGAGUCGCCACCAAUCUUUUAGGUGGUGUGAUCGGGUCACCUUAAAAAUGAUUUUAGGUCUACGAAUUUUGAGAAAAUAAGUUUGGGAGUAGGUUACGCACGAGGAAGGGUUAACACCCUCGUAACGCCAAAAUUGGUACCGAAUUAAUUAUUUAAUGUCUUAGUGUCGAAACUUGAAAAGAUUUUUAAAAACGAUCCCAUGAAAUGAAAGCUUAAAUAAUUGAACUGGCUAAAUAGAAGGACCUAUUUCAAAGAGAUAAAUCGCUACACUCAAUAAGUUAGAGUGCAACAAUUCAAUCUUUGAAGUUAGAUUCGUCUUUCUUUUUUUUAAUAUUUUUAAAAAAAUCAUAUGUUUUAAGAAGGAUAUUUGAUUAUUUAAGUCAAUCGAGAAAUCAGAAUCCAGUAAGUGAGGGUUCAAUUUCUCGAAAUUCUUAAACAUCAAAUAUUACCUUUAUUUUAAAAUCGAGAUAACAAAAUAUCAUAUCCAGUAAGUUAGGAUCCAACAUUUUGAAAUCUUAAGAACUUUAUUUUAACAAUUGUAUGGUUUUAAUAAAAUGAACACAUGUACACUAAAAAUAAUUCCAUAUAAAUUAUAUAUACGUAUAUAUAAAAGAACCAUGUAAUAUUAUUGUGAAAAUAAAAUUUGAGUUAUAUUAUGAAAUACAUUAUUUAAAAAUAAUAAGUAAUAUAUCAAAUUUUUAUAAAAAUAUAUCAAGAUUGAUGGAAACAAAUAAUAAUAUAUCAAGUUGGAAAAUAAAAGUGUACAAUAGAUAUUUUGAAAUAAUGUUUAAUAAAUUUAACAUAUAUUUGAUAAUAAUAAUUUGAAAGAAUUGUGUAUUAUAUCUUAAAAUUAUAUUAAUAAUAAGUUUGAAAAAAAUAUUAAGCCAAUAUUAAAAUAAUAGUAAAAAUAACGGAUUAAUAUAAGAAUUGAUUUAUUUUUAAAAAAUACUUUUGAAGGAAAAAUUAAAUAUGAAAAAACAUUUUUAAAAUUAACAACAAUAAUUAUAAUAAUAUCAACAAAUUUUAAAAUCGAAGCUUACAUAAAAUUAGAAUAAAAAAGGAAAACAAAAUUAAAUAAAUAUACAAUAGAGUCAAAAAUAUUGGUGUAUAAUGAAUUUAAAAAUAUAAAAUACAAGCUAAAAUAAUAAUUUAUUACAUUUUAAACUAUAAUAAUAAUAAAUUUAAACACUAUCAAAAUUAAAUAUUACAAAUAAUAUUAAAUUUUAUAAUAUAUGAAAGUAGGAUUAAUUACAUUUAAAAAUAUUAUUGAAUUAAAAAAGAAAACUAAAUUUGCAUUAAAUUGAAACCUAUUUCAACGUUGAAGGACUAAAUCAACAAUUAAAUGCAAAACCUGAAUAAUCAAAAUCAAUCGCAGAAAACGGUGCCGUUUAGGCUUGGAUCCAAAUGAAAACAGAAUUAAAUAUGCGGUACAAAUUAAAAAAAUUGAAGAAAAUUAGAUUGAAACUACAUAAAACAUAGAGGGACUCAUUUUGCAAAUAGACCAACGAACGAAAACGCGCGGAUCCUGCCCCGGGUCGGGUCACUGCGCUGAUACUAGCGUUAUACGACGCCGUUUUGAGACCACCAAGCCCGGCCUCAAACGACGCCGUUUCUAGUUAGACAUAAAAACUAAAAUAACCCUAAUUUAAACAGACUUUUCUUCCUAAAAAAAGAAAAGCAGGGACUUAAGAUGAACAGAUCCUCGGCGCCGCAUUUUGGAACCUACUGCUCAUGGGACCUUCAACCCUCGCCCGGCUCCAAUUGUGACGAAGCGAACGACGGUCAGGUAAGUUCCUCGCUCUUUUUUUCUUUUCUACUUCAAUAUUAAUCAAUGAACAAAGGAGCGGAAAAACAAAGAAAAGAUUAACAAUGACCUUUCGAAUCUUUUCUUUUCUCUGAAAAUGAGUUUUUUUUUUUUGUAUUCAAUUUCUCUGAAUGUGUCUCUGUGUGUAACUCCUUACAAAGGUUUCGCCUUUUGUUUUAUAGGCCGAAAAUAAAAAAAAAUGAAAUAUAAAAAUACAAUUUUCUGUUUUCUGCUAGUUGUUUGCUCUAUUUGCAGGUACGACGUACGGAGGGGGGACAUGGCGUGUACAGAGUGGCACGUGGCGGUGGCGUACGUGCGAGGGAAGGCCCUGGUGGCUGCAGCGCGUACGAAGGCAGAGUCUGGGUCUUGGUUGCUGCGGCGCUGGGAUCUCCUAGGGUUUCUGUAUGCUGCUUGGUGUUGGGCCGUCGGGCUAGGGUUGGCUAAUGGGCAUUAGGCUUAGUGGGUUUGAUUUUUGGGCUGGUAAUUUGGGGCUGGAGGGUUAGGUAUUGGGUUAACAGUUUAGGCUUGGGAAUUUGGAUUUUGUAAUCGGGUUUGGGCUUAAUGUAUUUUGGUUUGUAAUCUGGACUGAUGUUAUUGGACUUUUAUUAUAUAUAUUUUUUGUAUUUGGGUUUUAAUAUUCGUAUCCGGCCGGGCAAAUUAAUAAAAAUAAAAUUGUACUUUCAGCUUUCUUAAAGUUGAUAAAAAUUUAAUUUAAUUCUUUAAAAAUUAUAAAGAUAUAGGCUAUUAAAAUAGUAAAAUUGUAUUUUUAUUGUCAUAAAAAUUACAAUUUAAUUUCGACCUUCUAAUUUUUUUGUGACAUUAGGGACUAAAUUGAAUAAAUUAAAAGUUGUUAAGAAAUUAUGCCAUAGACUAAAAAUACAAGGUCUCUAACAUGAAAGUAUAUGAAAUCAGAUUUUGAUUUAAUACUAAAGACUGAAAAGUAUGAGUAUUUCGAAUAUAGGGAAAAAUGAAGAAAAUACAAAAUAUAUUUGAUUAUAUAUAUGUUUAUCAUGUGGUUGAGUGAAAACUAAAGCUAUUUUAUAAUUGAAUUAUCGAACGUAGCUAAAAAUAAUGUCAGGCCGUCCUGAGAUAAAGGAAAUGCGAGAAUCGUAGAAAGUAAUUAAUGCAAACUAAUACAAUUUGUACAUUCAUGAUUCAAAUUCAAUAUUUACAAACUAACUUGUCUCAUGGUUUGGUUUGUAUUUCAAUACUAUUGAACAUAUGUUUGAUCUUUAGAUUUGUAAUUUGUAAAUGUUUAAUUUAAAUAUGAUAUAAAAGUAUGAAAAGUAAAAAAAAAUUGUGAUCAUAAUAAUAUUAAUUAUAAUUUAAAAGAAGAGAUAUUUUAUUAUUUUUAUUUCACUUAAAAAUAAAACUGAUUUUACGAAAAUUUGAAACAAUAGGUUAUUAUAGAGAACUAACCUAGUAAAAAGUGUACUUUAUACUUUAUAAUUAAUAUUGUUCGAUAGAAAGUUGUUCUAAAAGUAUCACAAAAAUUAUUGAAUUAUUUAUUUUAUAUAAAGAAAAACUUAUAACCACUAAAUACAUAUUAAUAAAGAUCCAAUAUUUAAUCAAUAUGAUAAAAAUAUCGAAUCAAUUUAAAAUUGUACAUGCAUAAGAACCAAAUUUAUAUCGAUAUAUUCAUUUUAUAAUUAUAUAAAAGUUUGAGUAAACUAUUAGCUUUACCUGGUGAAAUAAAAUUUUUUUAAGUGAAAUUAAAUUAUAUAUUUUUACGAUAGUAAAAAUAUAAUUUUACUAUUCAAUUUAAAAUUGUACAUGCAUAAGAACCAAAUUUAUAUCGAUAUAUUCAUUUUAUAAUUAUAUAAAAGUUUGAGUAAACUAUUAGCUUUACCUGGUGAAAUAAAUUUUUUUUAAGUGAAAUUAAAUUAUAUAUUUUUAUGAUAGUAAAAAUAUAAUUUUACUAUUUUUAAUAUUUUAUACUUUUAUAAAUUUUAAAAGAUUAAAUUAAAAUUUUACCAUUUAUGAAAGAUUAUUAAUUUAAAAUUUUAAAAAAUAUGUGGCGGAUCCUUUGAUAUUUUUAUUGAUACAAAAAAGUAGAGGCUCGAGUAGAGUUCUGUGAUUUUAGUUGCCACUUGUGCAAAGGGUUAAGCUACUGACAUGACUGCAUCCAUGAAAGAAGACAAAUUGAAUUGUAACUUACUGCUCCUUUACGUUAAGAUUAAAAAACAGGCGGUAUGCUUCUUCACUCACCAUUGGUUGGUCCUGUUCUUCUUGAUUAUUCUUUCCAUACAUUGUUCUUAAAUCAAUGGCUGGGCAGUUUAUAGUUGGAGUUGCAGAUGUUAUAGCCUUUCUUUUGGGGUUUGUUUUCUUAGUGAGAUUUUGGGGGCUGAGCAAGCUGAAAAGAGCAGCUUCAAUGGGGUUCCCAGAGGAAAACUGUGUAAACAAAAAUGGAAAUGGUGAGGGUGAGGGUGUUGGCACUACAGAAAUUAUCAUAGUCAGUGCUGGUGUUGCCGGUGCUGCUCUUGCCUAUUCUCUUGGAAAGGUCCCAAUUUUUUAUCACCUUUAUUUUAAUUUUAUGGAAUAUAAGUUCCGACUUGGGAUAAUAAUAGUAAUGAACACUAAAAAGAUCUUGGAGCCAUAAACAUGACUCUCCCAACUUCUCCAAUAUUUUUAUAGUACUAAAAAUAAUAUAAAACAAAUUUAUUCAACUCUAAAAAAAUAAGGGUUCUUCAAAACAAAAUAGAGGAUGAGUUUUUUUAUAGAUAAUCUUAUUGUUUAUAUUGGGAGAGAUUGUUAAAAUUUUUUAUUUAGAUUUUAUAUUUAGUGAUUUUAUUUUUUUGAAGAACAACGUGCGCAGUUUUAAGUAGGCUUGCUCAUGAACCGGCCCAGCCCAAAGGCCCGCUCGAAAAAUGAGAGGGUUUUGAUAAAAAUAUAGGCUCGAAAAAUAGGUUUGAUCGAAAAAUGCCCGUUUAGAAAAUGGGCUAAGCCUCAAGUAAGGUUUUUCGGCCCGACCCAAAUAUGUAGUUUUUUUUUUGCUUUUUUUUUUCCUAUUUUCUUGUUGUUUUUCUCACUAUUUUGCUACUAUUUCACUAUUAUGUUGCUACUAUUUUUUUGUUAUUGUAUAACUUUUGUUUUAUUGUUAAUUUUGUUACUAUUUUAGAGGUAUUUGCUUGUUAAGUUGCACUUAUUCUAGUGUUAUUUAAGUAUACAUUUUUUAAAAAUUUAUUUUCAAUUUGUUGGGAAACAUUUAUUUUAAUGUUUUUAGUAUUUUUGAUGUAUUAUAUCUUUAAAGAAAAUUAUAUAAAAAAGUGAUAUAAAAAAUUAAUACAGGCCGAGCCCGGAUUUUAACAUUUUAUCUGGGCUAGGCUUGGGCAAAAUUUUAGGCACAUUUUUUGGGCUCGGGCCAAGCAAAUAAGUCUAAAAUUUUGGUUGGGCUUUGCCCGACCCAUAAACACCUCUAGUUUUAAGUAAUCAUAUGUUAUUUCUUCUUAAUUGUUCUUUUUAAAUAUGUAUUUAUGCUAUCUUUUUUUAACUUAUAUAUAUUUAGAAAUAUAAUAUGGAACAAAAACUUUAUAUAAUUUUUUGUAGUAUAACUAACAUACAUAAUAUACGUUACAGGAUUUUGUUUUAUGUAGAACGUCUAAUUUUAGUUUAGCUUCCUAAAGUUAACAUCCUCACUCCGUCACUGUUAAAUAUUGUAAAAUAAAUAUAAAAGAUACUUUAAUAAUGUCAAAUAAAAAAUUGAAAUUCCAUCUUAAUUAUAUUUAAUGUAGAAAUACAUAUAAAUAUCUAAGAUUUUUAAAAAUAUUGUAGAUGUGGGGAAUGCUGCAUUUAGCUUCAAUUAACAUCAGUUUCUCUUCAAGUUACCAUAAGAUCCUUGAAAAAUGGAUUUAAUUAUGAUGUUAUACCUAAUAAUUCUUCUGUAAUUAUAUAUAGCAGGAUGGACGUCGAGUGCGAGUGAUAGAAAGGGACUUAAAUGCACCUAAUAGAAUUGCUGGUGAAGGUCUGAUGCCUGGAGGAUACCUAAGUUAAUUGAAUUAGGCCUCGGAGGUAAAUAAGAAAAAUAAUGGAAUAUAAUGUUACAAUGACAUUUCUUUGUAUAUUUUUAUUUAUUUAUUUUACAUUGAAUGCUGGCACUACAGAUUGUGUAGAUGAGAUUGAUGCUCAACCAAUUUUAGGUUAUACUCUAAACAAGGAUGGAAAGGAGGCUCUCGUAUCUUUCCCAUUGGAAAAGUUUCAGUCUCAUGUUGUAGGAAGAACCUUCCAUAAUGGUCGUUUCGUUCAAAGAUUGCGAAAGAAAGCCGCAUCUCUUCACAAGUACUUUCUCUCCUUCCUCCAAAUAUAAUAUUUUAGAACAUUUAUCUUAAUGGAUUAAAUGGCUUCUAGUUGUUUUGAUCCAUUACUUCUGUUUAGACUUAUCAAUUGAGCUCAUUCAGUUGAUUUUGGUUUGAUUAAUCUAGAUAAAAUCACUCAAGUUUUAAAAUUAACACAUCAUUUUGGUUUUUAUCAUUGUAGGCUAAGGAUUAUUUUGAGUUCAUAUCAUUUCAAGUUUAGAUUUGAGUCAUUUUGGGUUCAAACAUUAGAGCUCCAGGUUCUAAAUUUUUGAGUCUAGUCAUUACAAUUUAAUAUCGUUUUGGUUCUAGUCACUUUGAGUUUGGGUCCUUUCAAGUUAAUUUUUGAAUCAUUUUGAGUUUGAGUUGUUUUAAGUUCAAGCUAGUUUGGGUUAGGGUAAAAUUUUGUUCAAGUUGGAGGGACUCAAAUUGUGGACCCUUUACAAUUUUUGAGUCUGGUCAUUACAAUUUCAUAUCAUUUUGGUUCUAGUCACUUCGAGUUUGGGUCCUUUCAAGUUAAUUUUUGAAUCAUUUUGGGUUUGAGUUAUUUAAGUUCAAGUUAGUUUGGGUUAGAGUAAAAUUUCGUUCAAGUUGGAGGGACUCAAAUUGUGGACCCUUUAUAGUCAAAUCAAAUUGGAUCAAAUUUAAGUUCCAAUUGGUCGAGUCAAAUUUUCAAAUUCAAGUCAAAAUUGACAUGUCUGGUUCUGUUACUAUUACUUUGUUUCAACUUGUUUUACUCAGAAAUUAUGCCUCUCUUUACAAGCUCCAAAUUCAUGUUUUGUAGAUAUGAUAACGCAGUGUAAGUUUAGAAUAAGGGAUAGUAACAUCUCUACUUGAAGAAAAUGGUAUUGUCAAAGGAGUGCACUAUAAAGAUAAGAGUGGUCAAUUGUUAACAGCUUACGCUCCUUUCACCAUCGUCUGUGAUGGUUGUUUCUCUAAUUUGAGACGCUCUCUCUGCCAUUCUAAGGUGAAAGAAAUGCUUACGUAUUCUUGUUAAAUUAGCUUAAUUCUUAUUUUAGUCACUCUAUAACGUUAAAAAUUUGAGAUUUAGUCCUAUUUUAUUGUGACAUAAUUUGAUUCCAUUGUAUUUGUGAUGAUAUUAGUAUGUCAAAAUAGAUCAGUUGUUUUUAUUAAAGAAUUGACUUAUUUUUUGGUUAUAUAGUCAAGGUUACAUUGAAAUCAAGUUAAUUAAGUUCAACUAAUAAUGAAAUUACAUGUUACUCAAAUGUUAGUUUUAAUGGAAAUCUAUGUCAUUAUUUCAAUGGUAACAAUUAACGAUGUCAUCAAUUUGGACCUACAAUAAAAGUAGAGAGACUAAAUUUUGCCAAAUUGAAAUAGAGGAAUAAAAUUUCAAUUUCAGCUUGGUAGAGGGACUAAAACCAUAAUUAGACUAUAUGCUUUGAGAAAAUAUACUUAUAAAGGUCUCGAUUAUUUGUGCAGGUGGAUAUCCCCUCUUAUUUUGUUGGUUUUAUCUUGACGAACUGUAAACUUCCAAAAGAAAAAUAUGGAGCUCUUAUAUUAGCAGAUCCUUCACCUAUCCUAUUUUAUCCCAUUAGUAGCACUGAAAUUCGUUGCUUGGUGGAUGUUCCUAGUCAAAAUCUGCCCUCUGUUUCCAAUGGUGAAAUGGCUCAUUACUUGAAAACUUUGGUGGCUCCCAAGGUAUAUUUAUAUCUUUCUUUAAUCGACUCAUUAAUGGAAUUUGGUUGAACUUAUGUACUAACUAUAUUGAAGAAUUUAAAAUUUUGUGAGUAAUUUCAAGAAUGAAUUUUAAUAGCUCAAAUUCCUUUUUUAAGUUCCGCUUAAAUAGGUGGUUUUUCGAAAUCUCUAACAAUUUUAAAUGACUUAAUACACAUGGUUCGACUAUAAAAUAAAAACUUAAACCUCAAAAUUUAUUUUAUUUAAUUAUAAUAUAUUUUUAAAAUUUUAUUGUAUUAAAGUUAUUUAUAAAUUUUUACAAAUAUAAUGAUUUUCAUAUUGAAUAUUGUUUAUAUUAUUUAUAUUUAAUAUAAUUAUUCUUUUUAUAAUAUAUUCUAAUUUGUAAAAUUCCAUUAACCUAAAUUUUUUUGUAAACCAAUUAUUUAGCCCAACAAAAUAACUACAAAUACUAGCAUUUUAAAUAAUCUAAAAAAAUUCUAAUUAUAGGUCUCGAUCAUAUAUAAUCUUUUUGAUACAAUACCUAGAACUACCCAUAGUCCCUCCUCAGCUCAUAGAUAAAAGGAUAAUACGUUUCAGCAUACUCAAAAUCACGUCUUUCUCCUCAUGCCAAUUGAAUUAAGGUUCAAUAGACAAUUCGAUACAAAUUUAAGCAUAUAUUUUUUUUAUAUUUAUGUCAUAUGUUUGCUCUUUUUAUUGUGAAAUUAUUUUAAUUCUGGUUAAAAUUAUUUCACUUUAAGAUAAUUUAUGUGUUGUAAUUAUAUUUAAUAAUUAUUAUUUAUAAAUUACAAUAUAUUAUUAAAUGCAAGUAGUUUGAUUUUUUUUUUUUUUAUCUUUUUCAAUUGCGCGGAGUGGGGCUACUUCUAUUCAACCAUCUAUCACAUCAGUUUUAAGUAAAAUUAAAUUAAAUUAAAUUGUUUUUUUCGAAAAAUUAAAUUGAAUUGUCUUUUUCUCUUUGAUUUUCUCUUUGUCUUUUAGCAAUAAUAGCUUUUCAAGGCUUAAUUUAAUAAGACGUACCCGGGUUGGUUUAGUUUUUUAAAUUAUCUUUUCAUUGGUUUGAAUAUUUAAUAGGCUUAAUUUAGUUGGCAAGUUCUUAAGCUUGGUGGUAAUGGGUUUGAAUGAAGGAAUUCUAGUUGUCAAUCUUUGCUUUCACUUUCUCCUUAAUCAUCUACUUGCUAGAUGGUUUUGGUGCAGAACAAAUGAAAUUCAUAUUCGUUUAUGUGAAUAAAAUAAUCUUUUAUUUUUUAAAAAUGCUUUUAUAAUGAGAGAAUUAAUCACCACAGUAAAUAUUUUAAUUUUCACAAAAUAUAACUUUAUGAAAAAAAAAACUCAACUAUUACAUGUGAAAUUUAAAUUAAAUUAGGAAGGACCAACAAUUGAUUGCUCAAAUAAAUAUCUUAUUUUUUAAGAGGAAACUUCUUACUAUGAUCUUUUCAGAUUUUUUUUUAAGUUGAAGUAAAAUUAUUAGUUAUUAACGUGGAUCCCUUUUUAUAUUUUUAUUGAUACAAAAAGGUGGAGGCUCGUUGUCACCUGUGCAAUGGGAUAAGCCACUGACAUGACAGCAUCCAUGACAGAAGACAAAUUAAAAAUUUCGAGGCGUGAAGUACAAAAACAGCUUUCCAUACAUUGUUCUUAAAUCAAUGGCUGAGCAGUAUAUAGUUGGAGUUGCAGAUGUUAUAGCCUUUCUUUUGGGGUUUGUUUUCUUAGUGAGAUCUUGGGGGCUGAGCAAGCUGAAAAGAGCAGCUUCAAUGGAAUUCCCAAAGGAAAACUGUGUAAACAAAAAUGGAAAUGGUGAGGGUGAGGGUGAGGCUGUUGGCACUACGGAAGUUAUCAUAGUCGGUGCUGGUGUUGCCGGUGCUGCUCUUGCCUAUUCUCUUGGAAAGGUCCCAAUUUUUACGCUCCUUUAUUUUAAUUUUAUAGUAUUAAGUUCGGACUUGGGAUAAUAACAUUAACCAACUUUAAAGGUCGGUUUGGAUGACGAUUGAUUGCGGUGCGGUGCGGUGCGUUUAGUUUAAUUUUUGUCUCACGCUACAGUAUCGUUACAGUGUCUAAUCUUACCGCCACCGCUAUUUUUACACUAACCGCAGGUAAAUACACCGCCCAUCCAAACUCACCCUAAAAAGAUAAUUUUCAGUGGCCGAGCCACUGAGAGAUUCGGGGAGUCAGGGUCAAAGGUCUAAAAUUUUUCAAUUUCUUUUUUCUAUACAUGUAAUGUAAUCACCCUCCCAAAUAUAAAAAUAGAUUUUUCUAAUAUUUUUAUAGUAUUAUAAAUAAUAUUAAAAUAUUUUCGAUUAUGAAAAUUGUUAAAAUAAGAUUUCGCAACAAAAUGGAGGAUAAAUUUCUUAUAAAUAAUCUUGUUGUUUAUUUUAAGAGAUGUUGCCGAAACUUUUAAUCUAAACUCAAUAUUUAAUGAUUUUAUUUUUUUGAAAGAACAUCGUGCAUUAAUCAUAUACUAUUUCUUCUUGAUUGUUCUUUUUAAAUAUGUAUUUAUAUAACCUUUUUUAAUUUAUAUAUAUUUAGAAAUAUAAUAUGGAACAAAAAUUUUAUAUAAUUCUUUGUAGUGUAAUUAACAUAAAUAAUAAUUGUUAUAAUUUUUUUUUCGUAGCACGUCUAAUUUUAGUUUAGCUCUUUCAAAAUUAAUAUCUGAUUCCGUCACUGUUCAUUAUUUUAAAAUAAAUAUAAAAGAUACUUUAAUUAUGUCAAACAAUAAAAUAAAGAAUUGAAAUUCCAUCUUAAUUAUAUUUAAUGUAGAAAUACUAUAAAUAUUUACUAAAUAGAGAUUUUUAAAAAUAUUGUAAAGGUGGAGAAUGCUCCAUUUAGCGUCAAUUAACAUCAGUUUUUGUCUUCAAGUUUUCAUAAGAUCCUUGAAAAAUGGAUUUAACUAUGUUGUUAUACCUAAUAAUUUUUUUAUAAUUAUAUAUUGCAGGAUGAAUGUCGAGUGCAAGUGAUAGAAAGAGACUUAAAUGCACUUAAUAGAAUUGCUGGCGAAUUUUUAAUGCCAGGAGGCUACCUCAAGUUAAUUGAAUUAGGCCUCGGAGGUAAAUAAGAAAAUUAAUGGAAUAUAAUGUUACAAUGAUAUUUCUUUGUAUAUUUUUAUUUAUUUAUUUUACAUUAAAUGCUGGCAUUACAGAUUGUGUAGAUGAGAUUGAUGCUCAACCAAUUUUAGGUUAUACUCUAAACAAGGAUGGAAAGGAGGCUCUCGUAUCCUUUCCAUUGGAAAAGUUUCAGUCUCAUGUUGUAGGAAAAACCUUCCAUAAUGGUCGUUUCGUUCAAAGACUACGAAAGAAAGCCGCAUCUCUUCACAAGUACUUUCUCUCCUUCCUCCCAAUCAUUCUUUAAUUUCAAUAUAAUAUUUUAGAACAUUUAUCUUAAUGGAUUAAAUGACUUGUAGUUGUUUUGAUCCAUUACUUCUGUUUAGACCUAUCAAUUGAGCUCGUUCACUUGAUUUUGGUUUGAUCAAUCUAGAUAAAUCACUCAAGUUUUUAAACUUAACACAUCAUUUUGGUUUUUAUCACUUUAGGCUAAGGAUUAUUUUUGGUUUAGAUCAUUUCAUGUGUAGAUUUCAGUCAUUUUGGGUUCAAACAUUAGAGCUCCAGGUUCUAAAUUUUUGAGUCUAGUCAUUACAAUUUAAUAUCGUUUUGGUUCUAGUCACUUUGAGUUUGGGUCCUUUCAAGUUAAUUUUUGAAUCAUUUUGAGUUUGAGUUGUUUUAAGUUCAAGCUAGUUUGGGUUAGGGUAAAAUUUUGUUCAAGUUGGAGGGACUCAAAUUGUGGACCCUUUAUAGUCAAAUCAAAUUGGAUCAAAUUUAAGUUCCAAUUGGUCGAGUCAAAAUUGACAUGUUUGGUUCUUUUACUAUUACUUUGUUUCAACUUGUUUUAAUCAGAAAUUAUGCCUCUCUUUACAAGCUCCAAAUUCAUGUUUUGAUGAUAUGAUAACGCAGUGUAAGUUUAGAACAAGGGACAGUAACAUCUCUACUUGAAGAAAAUGGUAUUGUCAAAGGAGUGUACUAUAAAGAUAAGAGUGGUCAGUUGCUAACAGCUUAUGCUCCUCUCACCAUCGUCUGUGAUGGUUGUUUCUCGAAUUUGAGACGCUCUCUCUGCCAUUCUAAGGUGAAAAAAAUGCUUACAUAUAUACUCUUGUUAAAUUGGUUUAAUUCUUAUUUUAGUCACUCUAUAACGUUAAAAAUUUGAGAUUUAGUCCUAUUUUAUUGUGCCAUAAUUUGAUUCCAUUAUUUUUGUGAAGAUAUUAGUAUGUCAAAAUAGAUCAGUUGCUUUUAUUAAAGAAUUGACUUAUUUUUUGGUCAUAUAGUCAAGGUCACAUUGAAAUCAAGUCAAUUAGGUUGAACCAAUAAUGAAAUUUCAUGUUACUCGAAUGUUAGUUAGUUUUAACAAAAAUCUAUGUCAUUAUUUCAAUGGUAACAAUUAACGGUGUCAUCAAUUUGGAUCUACAAUAAAGAUAGAGAGACUAAAUUUUGCCAAAUUGAAAUAGAGGAAUAAAAUUCCAAUUUCAGCUUGGUAGAAGGACUAAAACCAUAAUUAGACUUAAAUUAUAUGCUUUGAGAAAAUAUGCAUAUAAAGGUCUCGAUUAUUUGUGCAGGUGGAUAUCCCCUCUUAUUUUGUUGGUUUUAUCUUGACGAACUGUAAACUUCCAAAAGAAAAAUAUGGAGUUUUUAUAUUAGCAGAUCCUUCACCUAUCCUAUUUUAUCCCAUUAGUAGCACAGAAAUUCGUUGCUUGGUGGAUGUUCCUAGUCAAAAUCUACCCUCUGUUUCCAAUGGUGAAAUGGCUCAUUACUUGAAAACUUUGGUGGCUCCCAAGGUAUAUUUAUAUCUUUCUUUAAUCGACUCAUUAAUGGAAUUUGGUUGAACUUAUGGACUAACUAUAUGAUCUAUGAUACAUUUCAGGUUCUUCCUGAAUUAUACAAUUCCUUUAUAUCUGCAAUAGAGAAGAAGGACAACAUAAGAAUAAUGCCGAACAAAAUCAUGGCUGGUGCUCCACACCUCACUCCUGGUGCUUUUUUGAUCGGCGAUGCAUUCAAUAUGCGGCAUGCUAUAACUGGAGGGGGAAUGACUGUUGCUUUAUCUGAUGUUGUGAUACUUAGGGAUCUUCUAAGACCUUGCAUGAUCUAUCUGAUGCAUCCGCCAUUUGCAAAUAUCUCGAAUCCUUUUAUACUCUGAGGAAGGUAUUGUAGUUCAUGUCCUAUAUGAAUUUUUUAAAGUGAAUAAAAAGGAACAAAAAAUGGCAUAAAUUU
This 21020-nucleotide long non-coding RNA is filed under the name Gossypium raimondii (Peruvian cotton). RNAcentral describes it as "long non-coding RNA (GRAI_LNC010187)". The record is from RNAcentral. Lineage: Eukaryota; Viridiplantae; Streptophyta; Magnoliopsida; Malvales; Malvaceae.